This is a small nuclear RNA of Molossus molossus (Pallas's mastiff bat), 104 nucleotides long. The record is from RefSeq and is a predicted model, not a curated record. Lineage: Eukaryota; Metazoa; Chordata; Mammalia; Chiroptera; Molossidae.
AGCUGUGUGACCUGUGCUGUACUAAAAGCGGAACGACACCGCGAGGAUUAGCGUGGCCCCUGAGCAAGGAUGACGCGCAAAUUCGUGAAACGUUCCAUAUUAAA